Molecule: ribosomal RNA, 443 nt
Filed under: uncultured bacterium
Lineage: Bacteria
Description: partial 16S ribosomal RNA
Rfam family: Bacterial small subunit ribosomal RNA
Source: RNAcentral
CCUACGGGUGGCAGCAGUGGGGAAUAUUGGGCAAUGGAGGCAACUCUGACCCAGCAACGCCGCGUGAAUGAUGAAGGUCUUCGGAUUGUAAAGUUCUUUUCUAAGGGAAGAAGAAAGUGACGGUACCUUAGGAAUAAGCCUCGGCUAACUACGUGCCAGCAGCCGCGGUAAUACGUAGGUGGCAAGCGUUAUCCGGAUUUACUGGGUGUAAAGGGCGUGUAGGCGGGAAAGCAAGUCAGAUGUGAAAACCAUGGGCUCAACCUGUGGCCUGCAUUUGAAACUGUUUUUCUUGAGUACUGGAGAGGCAGACGGAAUUCCUAGUGUAGCGGUGAAAUGCGUAGAUAUUAGGAGGAACACCAGUGGCGAAGGCGGUCUGCUGGACAGCAACUGACGCUGAGGCGCGAAAGCGUGGGGAGCAAACAGGAUUAGAUACCCCAGUAGUC